This 398-nucleotide ribosomal RNA is filed under the name uncultured bacterium. RNAcentral describes it as "partial 16S ribosomal RNA". It matches the Rfam family "Bacterial small subunit ribosomal RNA", at positions 523 to 918 of the family's 1533-position model. The record is from RNAcentral.
AUACGUAGGGUGCGAGCGUUGUCCGGAAUUACUGGGCGUAAAGAGCUCGUAGGUGGUUUGUCGCGUCGUCUGUGAAAUUCCGGGGCUUAACUCCGGGCGUGCAGGCGAUACGGGCAUAACUUGAGUACUGUAGGGGAGACUGGAAUUCCUGGUGUAGCGGUGAAAUGCGCAGAUAUCAGGAGGAACACCGGUGGCGAAGGCGGGUCUCUGGGCAGUAACUGACGCUGAGGAGCGAAAGCAUGGGUAACGAACAGGAUUAGAUACCCUGGUAGUCCAUGCCGUAAACGGUGGGCGCUAGGUGUAGGGGUCUUCCACGACUUCUGUGCCGUAGCUAACGCAUUAAGCGCCCCGCCUGGGGAGUACGGCCGCAAGGCUAAAACUCAAAUGAAUUGACGGGG